RNAcentral lists this ribosomal RNA (253 nucleotides) under uncultured bacterium. RNAcentral's name for it is "partial 16S ribosomal RNA". It matches the Rfam family "Bacterial small subunit ribosomal RNA", at positions 524 to 776 of the family's 1533-position model. The record is from RNAcentral.
UACGUAGGGUGCGAGCGUUAAUCGGAAUUACUGGGCGUAAAGCGUGCGCAGGCGGUUCGUUGUGUCCGUCGUGAAAGCCCCGGGCUUAACCUGGGAACUGCGAUGGAAACUAGCGAGCUGGAGUGUGGCAGAGGGGGGUGGAAUUCCGCGUGUAGCAGUGAAAUGCGUAGAGAUGCGGAGGAACACCGAUGGCGAAGGCGAGUCCCUGGAAAACUCCUGACACUGAGGCACGAAAGCUAGGGGAGCAAACAGG